GAAAAAAGUGACAUUUUAUGUCUAGAAAGUCACUUUUCAUCAAAAGUACAAUGACGAAACUAGUUCCCAUUCAUCCUGUGUUCACAAACACACUUGUGCUCUUUAUACACUCAAAACGCUAUACAGCGAUUGAGAAGGCGCUAGGAGUAAAGGAAAGUGGUUUUUCCAACAAACUCAUAUAAUCAAUUGCCCGACCUACUCCCGUAUGAUAUUUUUCACAUAUUUACACAUAAUAUAGUACUAUGAAAUGUUUCUGACCUAAAAUAUUACGAAAUAUGAUUGUUUACAUUAAAAUGUAAAAGUUGAUGAUAAAGUGUGCUAAGGUGAAAAAAGUGACAUUUUAUGUCUAGAAAGUCACUUUUUAUCAAAAGUACAAUAACAAAAUUAGUUCCCAUUCAUCCUGUGUCCCCUUACACACUUGUGCUCUUUAUCCGCUCAAAACGCUAUACAGCGAACGAGAAGGCGCUAGGAGCAAAGGAAAGUGGUUUUUCUAGCAAACUCAUAUAAUCAGUUGCCCGACCUACUCCAAUUUGAUUCUUUUCACAUAUUUAGACAUAAUAUAGUACUAUGCAAUGUUUCUGACCCAAAAUAUUACGAAAUAUGAUUGUUUACAUUAAAGUGCAAAAGUUGAUGAAAAUGUAUGAUAAGGUGAAAAAAAGUGACAUUUUAUGUCUAGAAAGUCACUUUUCAUCAAAAGUACAAUACAAAA
Molecule: long non-coding RNA, 709 nt
Organism: Ictalurus punctatus (channel catfish)
Lineage: Eukaryota; Metazoa; Chordata; Actinopteri; Siluriformes; Ictaluridae
Source: Ensembl